Long non-coding RNA from Thamnophis elegans (Western terrestrial garter snake), 2457 nucleotides. RefSeq lists it as uncharacterized. The transcript has 7 exons. NCBI's taxonomy places the organism in Eukaryota, Metazoa, Chordata, Lepidosauria, Squamata, Natricidae. The record is from RefSeq and is a predicted model, not a curated record.
GCCCUAUGAUAAUCCAGAAGCUCUGCUCCUAGAUUUUAGCACUUGUGUAUACAGGAUUGCUGGGCUGGAGCAUGUAGGUGACUCUUCAAAUCCAAAUGUUAGGAAAGGCUUUAUGAUCUCUGAUUCAAAUGUUAGGGAGAGAUCACAGUGGCUGGGUUUCGGUAAUAUGCUUAAGCACAUUCAGGUGCAUAGCAUUGGAUUAUUCAAGGCCAACUUUGGAGUUCAAGGCUCAGUUUUUCUGUGUUCUUCCUCUUUUGAAGUCUUUCAACUUCCAUAUCACUUUAUUGAUGUCUGAAGAUUCUGGAAGGAUGGAGCAAGCAAACUAAAGAAGGAAGGGGGAAGACUUUAUUCCACCCCUGACUAGAAAAUGCUCUCUGAACAACACCCCAGCCAGACCUUAGCUGCAGGAGCUUAAGAUGCAGAACUUUACCUUGCUGUGAAAUUUCAUCCUUUUCAUUUCAACUCACUGCUCUCAAUAUUUUCCUCCAAGCUGAAGUUGAGACAUUAAUGAAUGCUUUGAGUACUCCUACUGCCAAUUCUUUGAAUUAAAUAAGGAAAAAUAGAUAUCAUACAAUAUCCAUAUUUGAUAGACCCUAAAACCACAACAAAUCAAUGCAACUACUUUACCUAAUACUGAUGAAUCAGGAGGGACUGUCUCACCAGAGCCAUCUCGGAUUAUUUCUUUCAACACUCCUCUGUCAGCAGUAAUAUUCUGCAUACGGUGACCCAACCACUGCAGCCAUACCUGGAAGGAUUUUACGGAGCAGACGCUUCCACACCAUCAUCUUUACAUCCUCUUGAUGGAAGUCAGGCUUAAAAGAAACCGCACUGUACAUGCCUUCGGUUGGGUGCUGAUAGGAAAGUUCAGACCUGGGCAUCCUCAACCCCAUGCCAUGGACCGGAACUUGUCCGUGGCCUGUUAGGAACCAGGCCAUACAGCUGGAGGUGAACAGUAGAUUUUGGACUUCUCCACCAAAAGUGACAAGAAAAGCGUCUCUGCCUUUAAUUCUUUCGAACAGAGAGCUUCUGGAGUUGAUGGCCCUCUGUUCAAGCAAAGAUCUCCAGAAAACAAACUGCUGUGACCGCCCCCUUUUCAGUCAUGUGCUUAUCCUUGGCACUUGUAGAGGCAACUCCCAGCUACAUCGCUGAAUGACCAAUGUAUUCUUGGAAAAUUGAAGAUAAACAAACCCACACAAGUUUUUCCCUUGAAAUGUUCACCUUGUAGAACAGAUUUCCUUGUCCUAUUCACCAUAAUAUAUGUAGAUAUUCAUAUGCCCUUUCUUAGUCCUCAUCAUAUUUCUGAAAUUUGACACUGAAAAGCCAUACUGAAUGACUUUGAAGGACUUUAUGAAUGAUGAAAGACUUUAAUGACCUUUCUUUAGAUUUACAUUUACAAUAUGUACAUUCAUUAAUAUCCCCAUCCCCUUAACAAAAAACUUUGACAUUAUCAAUCCUUCAUAUCUAGGAUCUGCCUUUUGGCUUCGUAGCUUGGGUGGGUUUUAGCCAGUACGCACCGAUACACCCCCGUUCAUGAAAUUUAGUGUGUCUUCUCAUACCCAUUCUUCCAGACGCCCCAUAUCGGAAUACUCCCUCCCCUGGCCUGCCCCCUUGCUCACUUCCCCUGCCCGCCCAGUCACCACUUGCUCGCUCACCCCACCUGAACGCACUAGGCUUGCCCUGCCCAACCACUUCCUUUGCCGGAGCGGACGAUUGGGAGAAGGCCACAUGGCACGCGCUCCUUCUCUUUGACAGCCGCCUGGUUUCCAAUGGGGUUGUGGGGGAUAAAUACAUGUUUUUCUUCCCUCUGCAUGGAUUUUCCCCCAAAUGGAAAUGAGGCGGCUGUCAAAAAGAAGGAAGCACGGGCUUCUUCAACAGCUGAGGAAGGAACAGGAGCAGAGGACUCGCCCAUCCCGCCAGGUUCCCUCAGGUCUCUGCGCCUCCCAGAAACAGGGGGUCAAAGGAGGGUCCCUCCCUUUCCUGGGAUCCUCCAGGGAAGGGCCAGGGACCGAACUGGACCUCGUUCUGGCCGCCGCUUCUCUCUUGCUCUCCGUCGCAGGAGCCAGGCAGGACAGCGGGUGCUUGCGCAACCUCUUCCAGCGCCUUUGGUGCCUGAAGCCCACGGGGGCAGCCAAUCUUGGCUGGCCUGAGCACCAGCCCUCCUUCACCCACAGCUCCAGUGCAGAUGACCCCGGCACAGCCCCCGCUCACCCACCAGAGAAAGGCAAAGCCCCAGGAGAGGCGGGAUGGUCAGUUGAGUCGGAUUUGCAGAACUGAGGUAGGGAAGAAGAUCGUGAGAUGUGGAGCCACAGACUCCCCCCUUUCCCCCCACCCCACAGCUCACCUCCUUGGGUAGGACCAGGGAGCGCACGGGAUGACUGGAGUUUGUGGCCAAUUUCAAAGUGAAUGGGGCUGUUUGUGACGAAAUGGGACAGAGAACAUAGAGGGAUGCAAGGGAAC